Molecule: microRNA precursor, 191 nt
Organism: Lupinus angustifolius (narrow-leaved blue lupine)
Lineage: Eukaryota; Viridiplantae; Streptophyta; Magnoliopsida; Fabales; Fabaceae
Rfam family: MIR159 microRNA precursor family
Source: Rfam
GGUGAUGAAUUAGAGCUCCUUGAAGUCCAAUGAAGGUUCUUGCUAGGUUGAUUAAGCUGCUAAGCUAUGGAUCCCAUAGUUCUACACAUAAUAUACCUUUGUGGUAGUUCUAUGGCUUCCAUAUCUUGGGAGCUUUAUUACCUAUGAUUAGAUCCUUAUUUGGAUUGAAGGGAGCUCUAAACCUUUCUCCU